UUAACAGCCCUGGAGACAGAAAUCCUUUAUGUAUCCACAGAGCAGGUCCAGCUCCACAUCACAAAUAUGCCGCAACCCUGCACUGCAGAAACCGCCCCUAGGUUUGAGGCAUUAGACCAGUUUCCAUAGACAUUCAGCAUAUGGCCUGU
This 149-nucleotide small RNA is filed under the name Chelonoidis abingdonii (Abingdon island giant tortoise). Its description in RNAcentral is "TUC338 (ENSCABG00000021735.1)". The record is from RNAcentral. Lineage: Eukaryota; Metazoa; Chordata; Testudines; Testudinidae.